Molecule: ribosomal RNA, 416 nt
Filed under: uncultured Methylomirabilota bacterium
Lineage: Bacteria; Methylomirabilota (SeqCode)
Description: bacterial SSU rRNA
Rfam family: Bacterial small subunit ribosomal RNA
Source: RNAcentral
CCGAAAGGCAGGAGUGCCCGCAAGGGAGCGCGGAGACAGGUGGUGCAUGGCUGUCGUCAGCUCGUGUCGUGAGAUGUUGGGUUAAGUCCCGCAACGAGCGCAACCCUCACCCCUUGUUGCUACCAGGUAAAGCUGGGCACUCUAGGGGAACUGCCCCGGUCAACGGGGAGGAAGGCGGGGAUGACGUCAAGUCAUCAUGCCCCUUACGUCCUGGGCUACACACGUGCUACAAUGGCCGGUACAAAGGGAUGCCACACCGUGAGGUAGAGCUAAACCCAAAAAGCCGGUCUAAGUUCAGAUUGGAGUCUGCAACUCGACUCCAUGAAGGAGGAAUCGCUAGUAAUCGCGUACCAGCACGACGCGGUGAAUACGUUCCCGGGCCUUGUACACACCGCCCGUCACAUCACGAAAGCCAG